GACGAACGCUGGCGGCGUGCUUAACACAUGCAAGUCGAACGGUAAGGCCCUUCGGGGUACACGAGUGGCGAACGGGUGAGUAACACGUGGGUGAUCUGCCCUGCACUUCGGGAUAAGCCUGGGAAACUGGGUCUAAUACCGGAUAGGACCAUUGCCUGCAUGGGUGGUGGUGGAAAGCUUCUGCGGUGUGGGAUGGGCCCGCGGCCUAUCAGCUUGUUGGUGGGGUGAUGGCCUACCAAGGCGACGACGGGUAGCCGGCGUGAGAGGGUGACCGGCCACGCUGGGACUGAGAUACGGCCCAGACUCCUACGGGAGGCAGCAGUGGGGAAUAUUGCACAAUGGGCGCAAGCCUGAUGCAGCGACGCCGCGUGAGGGAUGACGGCCUUCGGGUUGUAAACCUCUUUCAGCAUCGACGAAGCGCAAGUGACGGUAGGUGCAGAAGAAGGACCGGCCAACUACGUGCCAGCCGCCGCAGUAA
Molecule: ribosomal RNA, 478 nt
Filed under: uncultured bacterium
Lineage: Bacteria
Description: partial 16S ribosomal RNA
Rfam family: Bacterial small subunit ribosomal RNA
Source: RNAcentral